Molecule: transfer RNA, 84 nt
Filed under: Candidatus Pacearchaeota archaeon
Lineage: Archaea; Nanobdellati
Description: tRNA-Met
Rfam family: tRNA
About the family: Transfer RNA (tRNA) molecules are approximately 80 nucleotides in length. Their secondary structure includes four short double-helical elements and three loops (D, anti-codon, and T loops).
Source: RNAcentral
GCCCGGAUGGCGGAAUGGUAGACGCGAUCGUUUCAUAAGCGAUUUCCCCCCACGGGAGUACGGGUUCGAAUCCCGUUCCGGGCG